AGAGUUUGAUCCUGGCUCAGGACGAACGCUGGCGGCGUGCUUAACACAUGCAAGUCGAACGAGGCAGCGGCCUUCGGGCCGUUGUCGAGUGGCGAACGGGUGAGUAACACGUGAGGAACCUGCCCCGGAGACCGGGACAACCAGGGGAAACCCUGGCUAAUACCGGAUAUCCCCGGAUGGCCGCAUGGCCGACCGAGGAAAUGCUCAGGUGCUCCGGGAGGGCCUCGCGGCCUAUCAGCUUGUUGGUGGGGUAACGGCCUACCAAGGCAUUGACGGGUAGCUGGUCUGAGAGGACGAUCAGCCACACUGGGACUGAGACACGGCCCAGACUCCUACGGGAGGCAGCAGUGGGGAAUAUUGCGCAAUGGGCGAAAGCCUGACGCAGCAACGCCGCGUGGGGGAUGACGGCCUUC
Molecule: ribosomal RNA, 413 nt
Filed under: uncultured bacterium
Lineage: Bacteria
Description: bacterial SSU rRNA
Rfam family: Bacterial small subunit ribosomal RNA
Source: RNAcentral